Long non-coding RNA from Cuculus canorus (common cuckoo), 4587 nucleotides. RefSeq lists it as uncharacterized. NCBI's taxonomy places the organism in Eukaryota, Metazoa, Chordata, Aves, Cuculiformes, Cuculidae. The record is from RefSeq and is a predicted model, not a curated record. The transcript is spliced from 4 exons.
UGCAGAUGCCAGACGUAUUAUCAACCCAAGAAGGCUGCCUUUUCCCCAGGAACUGAACACAGCACCUGAUAACCAACCACUGCACCACCACCUCAGGUGAGCUGUUUUGAGGAGACAAUGCAGACGUCCCACAUUAUCCACUUUCUCCACCACGGCAAGGAAGUUCUGCAGAGAUAUGCACUCUGUUGGCAAACGCCUGGGGCAAAUAGAAGAGAAUAACAUUUCAAAGAUGAUGUGAAACAACUGUUUUGUACAUUAAAAAUCUAGAGAAGAGAACACUGAAAUGUUAGAAAGAAGAAAGGGGUGGAUGGUCCCUGUGCUCUGGCACGGAAGGAGGCUCUUUGACUGAUCUCUGCCAAGAUCUCCAUUAGGAGGUUUGUGUUUCCUUCUAACAUUAAAGAAUACCUCUAACAUCUGUAGCGAUGAACGGUGAAGAGUGUCAGUUCUGCUUCUGAAACAAGCGAUGCCGCCAUUUGAAGGAGGAAAAAUGUGAAAUAAUGAAUAUGCCUUUGGAGAGCAGUCUGUUGUAUAACAGAAAAUGUGCAAAGUCUCUUGCUAGGUUUGAUCUUCUGAGUUUCUUCUGUACACCUGCAUGGAGUGCAGCUAAUUACACAAAACUUGGUCAAUGGGAAAAGUAUCGCCCAGGGAUGCUGAACCCAAAUAGAAAGUGUCACAGAGCGCAUUGAAAGGACUUUAUCCUAUCUUUCCUUCCUUCCUAGUAUCAGGAAGGAGAUAAAGGGAUCACAUUAAAACUGGAGCAGCCACGACUUGAAAUACUAUUUGCUUUUUUUUCCAUGAAGGUUCUGAGAAAGAAGAAAGGAAUGCUACGUUCACUGGGGAUUUGGGCAGUGCGUGAUCACUUUUCUUCUCCACAAUCGCUUUCUGUGUGACUUGGGCCCCUCUGUGCUUCAUUUCCCUAUCGGUAAAGGCAAGCAGGAGCAUUUCUUGAUGUUUUAAUAACCAUCAAUAAACAGGUGGGCAUGCUAAUGAUUGCAAAAUGCUCAGUCAUUAUAAUAAAGGGAGGCAUGUACAACCAUCGCAGGGCAAUAAAAGUAAUGUCUGCAGGAGUUUACUGGAACCACAGUACAGAGCGCCACAGAUCCUGGAUAAUAGAAUGGCCAAUAUUUUAUCAUUGCAAGUAUCUUUUAAAAAAAAAAAAAAUCCCCAGGUCUAAUCUAUAACCAAGAAAUGUAAUAGGAUCUGCAAAAGUUCCAAGGCCAAGAGAAUUCACAAACAACAUUUUCAGGCAAAGUGAUCUCAUCUCAAGUAGAAAACACAAACAGUCCAUGGUAGGUGUUUUAAACUGUCUAAAUGAUGUCUAACACUCAGAGACACGGCGGGUAAACACUUAAUCUGCCUAAAACUGUAGAAGAUACUUAGCGUGAAGGUUUUUACAAAUAUUUCAGAUAUUCUCAAGUUUUACGUGAAAAAUUUCCUGCAAUUAUGCAUAGAAACAUGUCUUUCUUAAUCUAGGCAGGAUGUCCUGCCACUUUUACAAGUAAGAACGAACACAGACUUCAAUGAUACUCCAUCUUAAAAAUAAUAAAAAUUAGAAAACCAUUUUUUUACAGUUUUCAAAAAAAAACUUCAAGUGUACUUAAAAAAAACCUGAAGUUUUCUUAAAACCUGAUUCCUAAUACUCAUGUCAAAGACAGAGGCUGAAAACCACAGUGCUUAACAAGAAAGAUAAUAAACUGCUUGGUACUCAACCUUAACUGCAAUGAAGGGGGAGAAAUCAGUGUUAAUCUUGCUACUCAGUCCUUAAUUAAUUUUAUAUUUUGCUUAGCUUUUCCUUUUUCAGCUUGUAUAUAAUUUUAUAUGUAAGAUAUGCAUGGUUUUACAUUUAUUAUCUGCAUAUAUGCUCACUCCAAAUUGCUAAUUCAUCCUUAAUUUUUUUGGUUAAAGUUACACGCUUAAUGUUAUUUUAACAUAAGGCUUUUUCGUAAUGUAAUGAUAUUUAAUUUGCAUUAGCACAAGUGACAUACAAUAGAUCAUGCUAUUAUCAUGAUUGAUAUCAGAUGAACUGGCAUAAAUUCAACGUUAUAAAUUGAGCCUAUAAAUGAAACUAUUAUUUUACAGGAAUUACUGUAGUAGAAAGGCUAAGGACCCUCAAGUCAACCUUAGUCAAACCCACUCUUUAGAGUUUUAUAUUUUAUGCCUGCAAUAAAUGCUUUUGUGAAAGCCCAUAACCUGCAAAAAAAAAGUCAUUGGAAGUCUAUUAAUUAUAAUAAUACUAUCCAAAAAGCUGUGAGGGCUUAUUUUUGUGACAUCACUCUUUGAUUUCUUACUGCCUUAAAUUAUCCCUUUGUUGGCUGGGUGAGGGUAACAGUCAUACUUUUGUCAUUAAAUAUAAGGAGUUUUAAAGCCUGAUCCACCUUAGCUCUAAUUGAUAUUGCUUUCAUUUGGCAGAUAGUGACCUGAUUUAUAAUUUAAAUAUGCAUCAUUAUAUGCACCUCUUCUGUAUAAUGAAAAAGCAAAGUUACUCUCAUCUUUUCCCGCAAUGUUAACAUCAAGGAAAAGUAUCUUUCUUUUUUCCUUUUAUACCCAGAGCCUAAUUGAAAACUGUUCAUUGAAUUUCAACAUGAUAGAAAAGUCUUUUUAUCUCUCAAUUUGUCCAUUAGCUAUUAUAAUUGAAGUAUCUGCUACACAGCUGAAUUGAUAUUGUUCUUGUUUAAAUUCUGGAUUUCUCUAAAUCUUCUAUGAGGCAUCAACUAAAAAAAUAUGGGUUAGGAGACAUUAGCUAACAAUAUUGCCUAAAUGGGACAUUAGACGAGCACUCCACAUGUGUAAAGCUACAGAAAGUAGGAAGUCAUCUAAUUUUACUGGAGAACGUGUUGCAUAAUAAUCUUAACAGCAUGACCAUAAGGUUUGCUAAUUGCCACAUCUGUUUAACAGCUGUCAGAUGUUUGCCAUAUGCUGCCAUCAAUAUUACAACAGAGUACAUUACAGGGAGUUUUAUUGUGUUCGACUGUUAUUUAUUUGCCACAGACAUUACCACAGCCAGUGACGUCUAUUUAUGUUAGAUCACUAAUUAUAUUUUUAAAGCUGCAUGCAAAACCUAGUUUUUUUAGCUUCCCUAGACCCCAUUUCUGAUGAUGUAACUAAUAACUUUUUCCCCACAGAUCUCUGAACCGAUUUGUAAAUUCCUAUCUCGUUAGGGUAAAUAAUUUUUCUGCAAAAUAAUUUAUUUGUGCUGGUUUUGAAGGAUGUUUCUAAAUCCAAGUUGGGUUUUAAUGGUGAUGUUUGUAAGAACUUCUUUAUCAAAAAACCCACUUCAUUCCAAGUGUUUAUUCACCAGGACACAGGUUAGGGAUAGGAGAUAAUUCAGUUUUAGAGCUCAGAAGGUUGGAUACCCCAAUUCUAUUCACAAAUCUGCCACUGACUUGCUCUGCGACCUUGAUUCAUUUUAUGAGCUUAAUUCUGAUUUGCUGAUCUGUAAGCUAAAAACCUUCUGUACAACUGUACCAUCAAAACUCAUUCAUUAAACGUCGCCAAAAAGUAAAAGCUAAUAGAGUACUACUGCUAUUAAAGGAUCUAAAUAUGGCUGAUCUUUGCUGUUCUUUUAGUCAUUCUUUCAGAGAUUUUUUAAAUUCCUUCUUUCAACCAGUCUGUGCGUUACUUUUCCGUUAAAUGCAGCUACUAAAGCAAUGAAAUAGGAAGCAGAGAUUGACAAAGUGCAGACGAGGCAAAAUAUGCAUGAUGUGAUUUAAUAUGAGUUGAUAGGUGUCACCGAUCUCUAUUAUAAAUAGACUGUGCGAAUUCCAUAUGAUGUAUUAUUUAUCUAUUGUAGAUGCCUUUUUGUUUCAUUAAUAAACCUGGAAAUCAGACGUAUACGUUUCCAAUGACGAGGGUUUGGCAAUACAAGGCAUUGUGGCAUUUGUCUGCAAUUGCUCAAUUAUUUUCAUUAUUUUCUUCUUCUUUCUCCAUAAAUGAUUAAUGUUUGAGAUGUUUGUUCAAGAUUAUUCUGAUUCUAGCUCAUUCGUCCAGCUGAAUUCUUUUUUUUUUCUUCUCUAAUGAGAGAAGAUUACGGCAGUGUAAGGACUUCCACAUUGACCUGUAUUCUGGUUCUUCUGAGAUGCUGCACUGGAGCACACAGCAUAGGUCCUCUGACUUAGGUUUAUGCUCAGCUGUGAGGUCUAAGAACUCUUGAAAAUCUCAGUUUGAAUUUCCCUCAAAGCCGAAACUCUUAAGCUGUUGUUCCACCUACAGUUUAGAAUGUUUCCCUGGUAUUUCUAUGCUCCAGAAAGCUAAGAAAAUACAUUGCUGCUUAUUUGGAUAGGAAAGGGUUUGAAUUUUUCAAAUUUCUGAAGAGUACAGCAAGCAACAGCUAGUAUCUUCCCUUCACUCCUUCUGAAGAUGCUCAAGCGAAGAUAUCCUUGAAGACAUCAAAGGGUAAAGAAUUUAAAAUAAAAGGCAAAGCUGGGGAUUGUUUCAGGAGCCACACUGUCAAGCCUCGAGUACUCUACAAUGGGUGAGGUUGGCAGGAGGGGUCAGUGAAGGAGGACAAUGGGGCUGAGUUCAGCCAACACGUGCCUAGGGGAGAAGGAGGUGCUCAACCCCCAUGAGAAAUCAAACUGCCUAACAAGA